Molecule: long non-coding RNA, 1635 nt
Filed under: Trifolium pratense (red clover)
Lineage: Eukaryota; Viridiplantae; Streptophyta; Magnoliopsida; Fabales; Fabaceae
Description: long non-coding RNA (TPRA_LNC000498)
Source: RNAcentral
CUCUUUCUUUUUUUUUUGUUUUGUUUUUGGAAGGUGACUCUUCAUCUGGAAAUUGAAACUCGUACCUCAGAUAUAUCGCCGCAAAUUCUUUAGCACAACGACUCUUCCUCUUUCAAUUGAAACUUUGAAACUCGUAACCUCAUUAAUUAGCCGCAAAUUAGUUGAAUUCUUCACGGUUCCCUUUGCCCAGCAAACUAAAUAGAUGGGUAUAAGAAAGCUUUUCAAAAACUCAUUACCUUUAGGGUUUUCAAGCAACAAAAUAUGGAAGAUGAGUUUGUGUCUGUUACUUCACCUCUGGCCAACGAAAAGGGGAACAAAUGACGUAUAUUGGAUAGUAACGGUAACUACGUCUCUUUAGUCUGUGUGGAUUCUUCCAGGUUGGUACUCAAAUUUGUUCCUUAAUCUAAUUCUAUUAUGUGAUAGUCUGUGUAUUCUGUGAUAGUCAGUUGCUUCGGUCUUAUUGAUUGUUAAUUUAUUUAUCUUCUUCGCCUUUUCAAAAUAAAAGACAGUAAAGCAGACACUGCUCAUACACCAAAAGGAAAGAAUGCUGAUUGUGGUGAAUGGAAUCCUAUGCUCUUCAAAACAGAAGAUGAAGAUAAACAUAAAAUUGAGUGUAACUCGCAAAAAACAUCUUUUGAUGAUUUGGGACAGCAGGCAAACAACUCGUAAGUUAUUCUAUUUUAAUUUACUUUUUUAAAAAAUUUCAUCAAUAUGUCGUCUAAUGCUGAAACUAAAAUGUAGGAAUGAUUGUGCAAUAUGGGUGAUAACAUGGAUGGAGAAAAUGAAGGCGGAUGUGUAUAAGAUUGAUGUACCUUACUCUUAAUUAAUAAGUUGAACACUUUCAAAUUAUGUGAAUUUAACCAAUGACAACAAGAUUUUAUUUUUUAGGUUGAUGAUCGUACACGAUUAAGAGUUGCCUUAAAUUUGACAAUGAAUUCCUACAACAAGCUGAAUGAUGAGAUUUUGGCGAGGUCGAUGCAACAAAUUGACAAGCGGGGAAAAGCUUAAGAGGGUUAUAUUUGGUAGUAUUUUGCUGGAUGAUGUGAUGAAUUUUGAAGAGUUGUAAUAUUGAGUAAUAUUGACUUAGUAUUUUGCUGGUUAUUAACUAUGUAGCAACUACGUUUGGUAGUUGACUAUGGUUUUUAAUUUGAACAUCGAUAUGAUGUAAUUGGAAUAUUUUUGGUACAUUUAUCACUUUAGUAUCAGUCUGUGUGAUGACCACUUUUCUGUUGGAAUUUGUCUCUCUAAAUUGCAGCUUGUUUUGGCGGUUUCUAUUAUUACAUUAAUAUAUUUAAGUUCUCUAAAGGGUUAUCGUAAUUGGAACUGUUGUUCAUGGUUCUGCGUUGGCAGCCAUGUUUUUAUGAUUUUAACCUCAAAUGCUCCCUUUUGUAUUCUGUUUUUGGUUGUAUCUCAAAAUGCCUUUGUCCAAUUAUCUCAGGUUAGAAGCGAGAUAAAGCUUCUAAGGCCUGAGAGGUAGCAUUUAAGGUCGUGCUCAUCUGUUUGGAUCAGAAUCAGUCCUAUUUCGCUUACAUUUAAGGUCGUGCUCAUCUGUUUUGUCUCCUUUGUAUUUGGGAGUUUAGUUUUUGUUGUAGUGACUGGCCGCAUAUUCUGUGUUUGUUAUCCAGCUGAUUGUAG